GUAGACAUAGUUUAAAAAAAACACUAAGCUGUGGACUUAACAAUAGAAAUUUCCCCCUUCUUGCCUACC
RNAcentral lists this transfer RNA (69 nucleotides) under Teratoscincus przewalskii (Przewalski's wonder gecko). Its description in RNAcentral is "tRNA-His". The record is from RNAcentral. Lineage: Eukaryota; Metazoa; Chordata; Lepidosauria; Squamata; Sphaerodactylidae.